CCUACGGGUGGCAGCAGUGAGGAAUAUUGGUCAAUGGCCGCAAGGCUGAACCAGCCAAGUCGCGUGAGGGAUGACGGUCCUAUGGAUUGUAAACCUCUUUUGUCAGGGAGCAAAGGGCGCCACGUUUGGCGUUUUGCGAGUACCUGAAGAAAAAGCAUCGGCUAACUCCGUGCCAGCAGCCGCGGUAAUUCGGAGGAUGCGCGCGUUAUCCGGAUUUAUUGGGUUUAAAGGGUUCGCAGGCGGAAUGGCAAGUCAGCGGUAAAAUUUCGGGGCUCAACCCCGUCGUGCCGUUGAAACUGGCGGUCUUGAGUGAGCGAGAAGUAUGCGGAAUGCGUGGUGUAGCGGUGAAAUGCAUAGAUAUCACGCAGAACUCCGAUUGCGAAGGCAGCAUACCGGCGCGCAACUGACGCUCAUGCACGAAAGCGUGGGUAGCGAACAGGAUUAGAUACCCCUGUAGUC
This 459-nucleotide ribosomal RNA is filed under the name uncultured bacterium. Its description in RNAcentral is "partial 16S ribosomal RNA". It matches the Rfam family "Bacterial small subunit ribosomal RNA", at positions 338 to 795 of the family's 1533-position model. The record is from RNAcentral.